Humulus lupulus (European hop) is the source of this 5097-nucleotide RNA transcript. RefSeq lists it as uncharacterized. The record is from RefSeq and is a predicted model, not a curated record. The transcript has 21 exons. NCBI's taxonomy places the organism in Eukaryota, Viridiplantae, Streptophyta, Magnoliopsida, Rosales, Cannabaceae.
AGGUUGUAUAACUCAGUAAAUAUGUUAUGUUAUGUUCUCACUCGGUGCUGUUUCUUAGUCAAGGGUUUUAGAGUUGUUAACCGUUUGAAAGUAGUCGUAAACCCUCUAACACUGUAACGAAAAGGAAGACAAUCAUGGCGGUAGAGCUAGAGCAUAGCGAUUCAUGGCGUCUCCAAAGUGGCCAAUACAUUGGUGAAAUUUCAGCACUUUCUCUUCUCCACUUCCCGCAUCGUUUUUCUUCUCUUCCUUACCUCCUCACCGGCUCCGGUUCCCAACUUCUCGUCUAUGAUUUGGAACUGGGAAAGAUGGUAAACUCUUUUGACGUUUUCCAUGGCAUUCGCGUUCAUGGAAUUUCUUCUUGCAACAUUCAUUCCCAUAAAAUUGCCGUUUUUGGUGAAAAGAGAGUCAGGCUAUAUAGCUUACACCUUGCCCAGAUAGGCCUGGACUUGACUCUACUCCAGUCCUUGCCUAAGUUUGGUAGUUGGGUUUUGGAUGUUUGCUUUUUGAAGGGCCAUGAGAGUUCAUCUCAGGAAGCCAACUCCCGUCUCGUAGUAGGAUGCAGUGACAACUCUGUUCUUUUAUGGGACAUGUCAAAAUCUAGCGUGGUUCUUCAUGUUCAAUCCCCCGAAAGGAGCCUUUUAUAUUCAAUGCGCUUAUGGGGUGACAGUCUUGAAGCUCUCCGUAUAGCCUCGGGUACUAUUUAUAAUGAGAUAAUUGUUUGGAAAAUGGUUCCUCGAGAUGAUGUCAUGUCCAGUUCUCACUCUUAUAAUUAUGAAGCUGUUCAUAUAUGUAAACUAGUUGGCCAUGAAGGCUCAAUCUUCCGUUUGACAUGGUCCUCCAAUGGUGCCAAGCUGGUCUCUGUUUCUGACGAUCGUAGUGCUCGUAUCUGGGAAAUUUGCACUGGAAUAGAAGAUAAACCAUCAGAAUCUGUUGGCAUCGCCCUCUUUGGUCACAGUGCACGAGUUUGGGACUGCUGUGUAUCUGAUUCUUUGAUUGUCACUGCUGGUGAAGAUUGUACUUGCCGUGUUUGGGGACUGGAUGGAAAACAACUCCAUAUGAUCAAGGAACACUUAGGAAGGGGAAUAUGGCGAUGUUUGUAUGAUCCAAAAUUUUCUAUUCUCAUUACUGCUGGAUUUGACUCUUCAAUCAAAGUGCAUCAGCUGCAGACUUCACUCUCUGGAAGUCCGGAGGGACAUGCUGAGACAAAGGAAAUUGACAGAACAAACAAAUUCACUGUUUGUAUUCCUAGGUCUUCAGAUCAUAUUGGGCUUACAGAUAGUAAAAGUGAAUAUGUUCGUUGCUUGCGCUUUACACACCAAGACACCCUUUAUGCUGCCACAAACAAUGGUUAUCUCUACCAUGCUAAAUUAUCUGAUAUUGGUGAUGUAUGCUGGACAAAGAUUGUGCAGGCCAGCGAAAAGGUGCCAAUUGUUUGUAUGGAUUUGCUGUCGAAACCAUCCAAGCCUUGUUGUGGGAACGAGGAUUGGAUUGCUGUUGGAGAUGGUAAAGGAAACAUGACAGUUGUCAAAGUUAGUAAUGUUGCUUCUCCUAAUGCAGACAUCACUCUUACUUGGUCAGCUGGAAAAGAGAGACAGCUCUUGGGAACACAUUGGUGUAAGCCAUUAGGAUUCAACUAUGUUUUCACGGCUGACCCCAGAGGAGCAUUGAAGCUAUGGAGGCUGUGGGAUCCCUCACAACCUUUUCCUUAUAAUUCUUCAGCCAGUAGCAAUGUCUCUCUUAUAGCUGAAUUCACAUCUUGUUUUGGAAUGCGAAUAAUGUGUUUGGAUGCCUCAGUUGAGGAUGAGGUGCUUGUAUGUGGAGAUAUACGUGGAAAUCUUGUUUUAUUUCCUUUAUUAAAAAGUGCGUUGGAGAGCACAUUUGCUGUAUCAGAUACAAAAAUAGCUGCAUUAACUUACUUCAAAGGGGCACAUGGAAUAUCAAGUGUCACCAGUGUUGCUGUUUCUAGCCUAAAUUCAAAUCAGUUUGAAAUACGAUCGACUGGUGGAGAUGGGUGCAUAUGCUAUUUGAAAUAUGGCAUAGAUAGACAGAAUUUGGAAUUUAUCGGGAUGAAACAAGUGAAGGAAUUGAGUUUGAUCCAGUCCGUUUGCUCUGAUAAUAACUCUGUUAUUGAUUCGUCUAUUGCUCACUUUGCCGCUGGUUUUGCAUCUGUUGAUUUUAUGAUAUGGAACUUGAAAACCGAAACAAAGGUUUUGCAAAUACCUUGUGGUGGAUGGCGUCGUCCUCAUUCUUAUUAUGUUGGUGAUCAACCAGAAAUAAAGAACUGUUUUGCAUACGUAAAGGAUGAAGUUAUCCAUAUUCAUAGACAUUGGGAACCAGAAGGUUUCAGGAAGAUAUAUCCCCAGAACCUGCAUAUGCAAUUCCAUGGGAGGGAAAUGCACUCCUUAUGUUUCAUCAUGGAAGAAUUGCAGCCUGGAGCAAAUGGGAAGCACAGCCUUGUAUCUGGAUCUAGUUGGAUUGCUACUGGCUGUGAAGAUGGAACUGUGAGGUUGACUAGGUAUACUCCAGGUGUUGAAAAUUGGUCUGAAUCAAAAUUACUUGGGGAGCAUGUUGGUGGAUCAGCUGUGAGGUCAAUAUGCUAUACAUCAAAGAUACACAUGAUUUCAUCUGAUCUGGCCAAAAGUACUACUGCCAGAAACGAAGAUGAUGUGUUUGGAGAGAACAUAGAAAAUCCAUUUCUUCUAAUUUCAGUCGGUGCAAAGCGGGUCCUAACUUCUUGGCUGUUAAGGAAUAGGAACCUAUACAAGACGGAGAGUGCACUUGCUGGUGAGCAGCAUAAGGCAACAGGAAAUGGCAAUUCAUCUGAAGUGUCAUCUUCUAUGUCAUUCCAGUGGCUGUCAACUGAUAUGCCACCCAAAUAUUCCAGUUCUGAUAAAUAUACCAAAAGCAUUGGGAAGGGAAUUGGUCUAGUUGAGAAUUUGUCUGGUAUGAAAGCUGAUGAAGGUACAGAAGAUGGGAAGAUGGAGCUGAAAUCCUGCCCUAGAGACAAAUGUGAAGAUGAUUGGAGAUACCUGGCUGUCACUGCUUUUCUUGUGAAAUGUGCUGGUUCCAGGUUAACCGUCUGCUUUGUAGUUGUCGCUUGUUCAGAUGCCACAUUGAUGUUACGGGCUCUAGUCUUGCCCCAUAGAUUAUGGUUUGAUGUGGCAUUGCUGGUGCCUCUAUCAUCACCAGUUUUAGCGUUGCAGCAUGUUAUCAUUCCAACAUGUCUGCCUUCUAAAGAUAACAUUCAGGAUAGAAGUGUGUAUGUUGUCAUUAGUGGUGCUACAGAUGGAAGUGUUGCCUUCUGGGACAUAAGUGAAAGCAUUGAUACUUUUAUGUGCCGGGUAUCAGUUCUUCAUGUGGAGAAGUUCAUUGACUGUCAGAAACGGCCACGUACCGGAAGGGGAAGUCAGGGUGGAAGAUGGUGGAGAUCUCUGGGCCGUAGCAUGUCAAAAAAUAGCACGGACACUGAGUCAAUCACUGAAAAAUCUGGACCAGAUGCUAAUUUUGACUUCCCAAAUUUUGUUGCACAUGGAAUAUCAUCAAUGGAAAAUGCUUCUGAAAGUAGCACAACAACUUCUUCUGAAACUAUACAUGUUGCCUCUAACAAGUCAGAAUCGAUAGAUGAUUCUUCAUCUGAAAUAUGCAAAAUAUGUCCUUUACAUGUUUUGAAGAACAUUCACCAAUCUGGUGUCAAUUGUCUUCAUGUUUCAGGUGUGAAAGGUUGUCGAAAUCCUGACAAUGGUUUUGUUUACAAUUUACUUAGUGGGGGUGAUGAUCAAGCUCUGCACUGUCUUAGAUUUGAUUUGGAAUUUUCAUUAGCAGAACAGAAAACUGAAAUAAUAACACCAGAAACACAAAAUUCAAUCACUGGACAAGGAAAUGCUAAGAACUUUGUUCAAUCUUACCAAAACCAGAACCGGAGUUAUAGGAUCAGAUUCUUAAAUCGUGAUAAAGUCCCUUCAGCUCAUACCUCUGCUGUAAAAGGUGUCUGGACAGAUGGCGUGUGGGUGUUUUCCACUGGUCUAGAUCAGCGUAUCCGGUGUUGGCGUCUUGGGGAGCAAGGUAAAAUAACCGAGAAGGCCCAUGUGAUCAUUAGUGUCCCAGAGCCAGAAGCAUUGGAUGCUAGGAUCUGCAGUAGGGGAUACUAUCAGAUUGCAGUAGCGGGGAGAGGAAUGCAAAUAGCUGAGUUCUCUGCAAUUCAUAACAUAAAUUUAUGAAAGCAGAAGAGCUAUUCUGUCGGCUUGUUUUUUGCCCACUCAGUCAUUCCUGGCUGACUCCCUCCUGGGUAUGAAGUUGGUGCGCAAGAUUCUCAAGAGGAACCUUUUCCAGUCACUAUAGCAAGCCUGUACAAAGAAGCCAAAGAUAGAGAACAUAGCAAGCUGUUCGUUCUCAAUUUCUUUCACCUUGAGCUCUGCAAAUGCCUCAGGAUCAUCUGCAAGCUCCAAGGGAUCAAAGCCGCCUCCAGCAAUUUGGUAACUCUCAAAUGUGCCCAUGAGAAUAACCUGGGUUACCCAGAUUGCUAGAAUGCUCUAUGCAUGAACAAGACUUGGAUUUUUUAGAUAUUCAAGACCACCUUAGCUGAAUUAUCUGAGAACCAGCUUUGAACCAAAAACUUUACUCCAUUUCUGAAAAGAAGCUCUGGGAAGAGGCCCAAUGCUCCAAGCAUUGCUCCUUGCAGACUGUUGAGAACCCUGGCCCUGUAUUUGAUAAAAUGGUGGUAUGGAGAAUGGAGAUGAAAGAAUCAUUGAUGCCAUCUUUAGGUCGUUAUUUCUUUAUGGAUGGAGUGAGGGCUUUAAUUUGGAUUAUUAGAGCUUGUCAGAUGAGUGAUUGCAGCAGGGUAUGGCCAUGGAAUCCCAUUUUAUAUAGGAUCUGGUGAGGUUUACUAUGAAUAAUGUUAAAAGAGGUAGAUGAGCCCUUGACACUCAGCACAACACUAAUACUGAUUUGGGAUCCAUAUUAUAACUUAAUUUUGUGUGAGCACCACAAAUGUCCCUUGGUUAACUACCCUAUUUGUGGAUAUCCAUUCAUCCUUUCUUUUCCCUAAUUGGCUUAUAGAAUAAUAGUAUCAUUAAAUAUCAAGCUCAGUUCUAUGUUCAA